Rhodocollybia butyracea is the source of this 105-nucleotide non-coding RNA. The record is from the annotation of a GenBank genome assembly. NCBI's taxonomy places the organism in Eukaryota, Fungi, Basidiomycota, Agaricomycetes, Agaricales, Omphalotaceae.
UCCUUCUUAGCUCAGCUGGUAGAGCGCGUCACUAGUAUGCUUCAUCACGGAUGCUUAUACUAAUGAAUAAUGACGAGGUCAGUUGUUCAAGUCGGCUAGAAGGAA